Molecule: unclassified non-coding RNA, 215 nt
Filed under: uncultured fungus
Lineage: Eukaryota; Fungi
Description: sequence contains ITS1
Source: RNAcentral
GUAUUAAUUUUUCAGCUUGCAAACAAGCUUAUGAUUUGACAUUCUAAACUUUUUUUGAGUAUAUUAAAAAGACAUAGACCAAUAUCUUGCGAAGUCGGCCUACAAAAGUGCACAUGGUGUAAAAAUUUGGAACAAGGUGUGCACAUAUCUAUUACGAUCAGCUACAACCUCUUCAAAAUUCAAUAAUGAUCCUUCCGCAGGUUCACCUACGGAAA